UACGUAGGGGGCUAGCGUUGUCCGGAAUCAUUGGGCGUAAAGAGCUCGUAGGCGGUUCAGUAAGUCGGGUGUGAAAACUUUGGGCUUAACCCAAAGCGUGCAUCCGAUACUGCUGUGACUUGAGUUCGGUAGGGGAGUGGGGAAUUCCUAGUGUAGCGGUGAAAUGCGCAGAUAUUAGGAGGAACACCGGUGGCGAAGGCGCCACUCUGGGCCGAAACUGACGCUGAGGAGCGAAAGCAUGGGUAGCAAACAGG
RNAcentral lists this ribosomal RNA (254 nucleotides) under uncultured bacterium. RNAcentral describes it as "partial 16S ribosomal RNA". It matches the Rfam family "Bacterial small subunit ribosomal RNA", at positions 524 to 776 of the family's 1533-position model. The record is from RNAcentral.